Molecule: ribosomal RNA, 279 nt
Filed under: uncultured bacterium
Lineage: Bacteria
Description: partial 16S ribosomal RNA
Rfam family: Bacterial small subunit ribosomal RNA
Source: RNAcentral
UGCCAGCCGCCGCGGUAACACGGGGGGCGCAAGCGUUAUUCGGAAUUAUUUGGCGUAAAGGGCGCGCAGGCGGUCUUGUCCGUCAGGUGUGAAAACUCGAGGCUCAACUUCGAGAGGUCAUCGGAAACCAUCGGACUAGAGUCCGGAAGAGGAGAGUGGAAUUCCUGGUGUAGCGGUGAAAUGCGCAGAUAUCAGGAAGAACACCGAUGGCGAAGGCAGCUCUCUGGGACGGUACUGACGCUAAGACGCGAAAGCGUGGGGAGCGAACCGGAUUAGAUA